CCUACGGGAGGCAGCAGUAGGGAAUUUUCCACAAUGGGCGAAAGCCUGAAGGAGCAAAGUCGCGUGGGUGAAGACGGUCUUCGGAGCGUUAAACCCUGUUUUUAGGGAAGAAAGUGCGUGAGAGUAACGGUUCACGUUUCGACGGUAUCUAACCAGAAAGCCACGGCUAAUUACAUGCCCGCAGCCGAUGUAAUACGUAGGUGGCAAGCGUUAUCCGGUUUUGUUUAGCGUAAAGGGAACGCAGGCGGUCUUUUAAGUCUGAUGUGAAAGCCAUCGGCUUAACCGGAGUAGUGCAUUGGAAACUGGGAGACUUGAGUGCAGAAGAGGAGAGCGGAACUCCUGGUGUAGCGGUGAAAUGCGUAGAUAUAUGGAAGAACCCCAGUUGCGAAGGCAGCUCUCUGGUCUGUAACUGACGCUGAGGCUCGAAAGCGUGGGUAGCAAACAGGAUUAGAUACCCGGGUAGUC
RNAcentral lists this ribosomal RNA (465 nucleotides) under uncultured bacterium. RNAcentral's name for it is "partial 16S ribosomal RNA". It matches the Rfam family "Bacterial small subunit ribosomal RNA", at positions 338 to 795 of the family's 1533-position model. The record is from RNAcentral.